AAUCAACGCUGGCGGCGUGCCUCAGACAUGCAAGUCGAACGUGAAAGUUUCCUUCGGGGAGCGAGUAGAGUGGCGCACGGGUGAGUAACACGUAGGUGAUUUACCUUUGGGUGGAGAAUAACAGUCGGAACGAUUGCUAAUACUGCAUAAUGCAGCGGCUCGACAUCGAGACAGUUGUUAAAGUAGGGUUGAAAGACCUUAUGCCUAAAGAAAAGACCUGCGGCAGAUUAGCUAGAUGGUAAGGUAAUGGCUUACCAUGGCGACGAUCUGUAGCCGGCCUGA
Molecule: ribosomal RNA, 282 nt
Filed under: uncultured bacterium
Lineage: Bacteria
Description: partial 16S ribosomal RNA
Rfam family: Bacterial small subunit ribosomal RNA
Source: RNAcentral